Molecule: long non-coding RNA, 1680 nt
Filed under: Nicotiana benthamiana
Lineage: Eukaryota; Viridiplantae; Streptophyta; Magnoliopsida; Solanales; Solanaceae
Description: long non-coding RNA (NBEN_LNC022143)
Rfam family: MIR6151 microRNA precursor family (bases 192-262)
Source: RNAcentral
UGUUCUCCAGAGAGCCAUUCUAACCAAGCCCGAAAAUUCCGUCCAAAUACAUGGCGAGUGAGAAUCAAUCCCUAACCCACACAUCUCUCUAUCUCUCCUCUUACCGUUGCUAACGACUUCUGUCGCAAGAUUCCCUCUCCUCUCACUCACUCGUUUUUAGACCUAUCUCAGGUUGGAAGCUUCUGGAGAUGAAAUGCUGGAUGAGUGUGAGGCGUUGGAUUGAUUUCACUCAAUUCGAGCCCCACAUUCAUCAAGGAUUAGUCUCUAAAAGAGGCUUUAUCUAAUUUUGUGAGGGUCUCGACUAAAAAUUCAGAGAUGAGAAGUGGAAAGGAUUCUAGAAUUUAUGGUUUUCAGAGUUUGUUUCUUUCUUCUGGGUCGAGUUCAUUAAAAGUUUAAGAGAAGGAUAUAUAUUUUCUUUACGGUAUGAGUCCUGUUUUAAGCUCUAAAGAGAUGAAAAUAUGAGUUGAAGCUCGAAUUUGAUUUUCUAUUGUUGUUCUGCUGGACCUCGAUGGGAUUUGGAGUCGAGAGUUGUAUUGUAAGGUUUAUAAUUGUUAUGAAAGAAGAUUCGCAACUUCAAGUUCCAUAUUCCUCUCUUUAUUUCUAUGCGACUAUGUUUUGUUUCAGUAUUUUUUGAGCUAUGAUAUUCAAUCUAGGGCGGUUUGUUUGUGUUAUGAUCGAACUUCUUGCUGAAUAGAUCUGUUCGCAAUGGUGGUAUGUGUUCGAGUAUUUUCAGUUAGUAGAAAUUAAUCUGCGUAGUCGUCUUCCAUUUCUUAUAUGUCAUGACUGUUAUUCGGGAUCGAAGUAUGUUCUGAAUCAAGAUAUCAUCGCUUUUAAACAAACGGUGAGUUCAUCUUUGAAAAUCACGAGCGAGCAUGAAACUAUGAUGUUACUUCUCAUUAUUGCGUGCUUUACGGAAUCUAAAUGACCUGUUUCUGUGAACUCUUUUUGUAUAUCAGAUUUUGUUUUUAUAAUUAGAAUUCAAAGAAUUGUUUAGUUUUCUCUUUCCUUAGAUCUCGUAACUUUUUUGCCAUGUUCUUGCUGGUUUGGAGUUGCUGAAGCUCUCCUAGAUAGAAUGUGCUCUUCAUGGCUUAUCAAAUUGAGAUGAAAAUCAAAGUUUAUGUUUCCAGUAGCCAUUUUUGCAGGUUGAACUUCUUAAAAUAGAAUUUAAUGUGAAACUUGUUAGUACUGUGUUCUGUUGUCCUUGAAGUCAGUUUUUAUUUGCUAGACUCUCCUGAAUCGUUUGGCCUAUUGAAGCGUAAAGGAUGAGAUUCCAUUCCCUGUUUAAAUGGCUAAAUGCUUUGUUCUAAUUGAUGGAUGAGGCAUGUUGUUUUAUUUUGGUUUUGUUUUAUAAAAAUUGGAGGUGUCUAGCCCGAGCUAGCGACUGAGUCACGAGUUUGAAAUCAGGGAAAAUUUUCUUUAACUGCCAUCUUGAAAGUAUAAGUGUGCAUUUUUGAAUCCUUAUUUAUGGAUCUGUGUCGACGUGUGAAGGAGAUAAAUAAGUUGGUUUAACGAGGCGAUGAGUUUAGAGAUGGAUUGUUGGAUAAAAAUCGUGAUUGUGCUUGGGUUAACUUUGAUUGUUUGAUAGUUGUUGUGUAGAAUGAUAACAAGCUAAAUGUUAGACCCCUAACUUUGGUCCUCGGCAGGUGUGGGUUGUGACAAGGAUUUGCAUGAUGGACNNNN